RNAcentral lists this ribosomal RNA (465 nucleotides) under uncultured bacterium. RNAcentral's name for it is "bacterial SSU rRNA". It matches the Rfam family "Bacterial small subunit ribosomal RNA", at positions 331 to 794 of the family's 1533-position model. The record is from RNAcentral.
CCAGACUCCUACGGGAGGCAGCAGUGAGGAAUAUUGGUCAAUGGGCGGAAGCCUGAACCAGCCAAGUCGCGUGAGGGACUAAGGCCCUGCGGGUCGUAAACCUCUUUUGUCGGGGAGCAAAAGACGCCACGCGUGGCGUUCCGAGAGUACCCGAAGAAAAAGCAUCGGCUAACUCCGUGCCAGCAGCCGCGGUAAUACGGAGGAUGCGAGCGUUAUCCGGAUUUAUUGGGUUUAAAGGGUGCGUAGGCGGGCUGUUAAGUCAGCGGUCAAAUGUCGGGGCUCAACCCCGGCCUGCCGUUGAAACUGGCUGUCUUGAGAUGUCGAGAGGUAUGCGGAAUGCGCAGUGUAGCGGUGAAAUGCUUAGAUAUUGCGCAGAACUCCGAUUGCGAAGGCAGCAUACCGGCGGCGAUCUGACGCUGAGGCACGAAAGCGUGGGUAUCGAACAGGAUUAGAUACCCCCGUACA